AGAUUGAACGCUGGCGGAAUGCUUUACACAUGCAAGUCGAACGGCAGCACGGGACUCAGGCAACUGAGCCCUGGUGGCGAGUGGCGAACGGGUGAGUAACAUAUCGGAACGUACCCAGUCGUGGGGGGAUAACUCUCCGAAAGGAGAGCUAGUACCGCAUACGUCCUGAGGGAGAAAGCGGGGACCUAAGGGUAACUGAGGCCUCGCGCGAUUGGAGCGGCCGAGUACGUCGGAUUAGCUAGGUUGGU
RNAcentral lists this ribosomal RNA (248 nucleotides) under uncultured soil bacterium. Its description in RNAcentral is "partial 16S ribosomal RNA". It matches the Rfam family "Bacterial small subunit ribosomal RNA", at positions 26 to 253 of the family's 1533-position model. The record is from RNAcentral.